Molecule: ribosomal RNA, 327 nt
Filed under: uncultured eukaryote
Lineage: Eukaryota
Description: partial 18S ribosomal RNA
Rfam family: Eukaryotic small subunit ribosomal RNA
Source: RNAcentral
CCCUUAGAUGUUCUGGGCCGCACACGCGCUACACUGAAGGAGGCAGCGUGUACUCCUGGAUCGAAAGAUUUGGGUAACCCGCGAAUCUCCUUCGUGCUAGGGAUUGAGGUUUGCAAUUAUCCUUCAUGAACGAGGAAUUCCCAGUAAAUGCAAGUCAUAAGCUUGCGCUGACUACGUCCCUGCCCUUUGUACACACCGCCCGUCGCUACUACCGAUUGAAUGAUUUAGUGAGGACUUCGGACUGGGACCGAUGCGGCUUUCGGGCUGCGUCGGUAUUCUGGAAAGAUGUCCAAACUGUAUCAUUUAGAGGAAGUAAAAGUCGUANCA